GGUUGGCAAGUAUAUUCAACCCUUUAUUUCUCCACGUAGAACCAAUGUUAGGUAGACUCCACUAUGCUGUCACUCUUUGAUAUGUUGGCAAUUGUCCUUUGUACAUUCAUACGCUCUUCAUACUCUUCUUCACUGCAGAAAGAAAAAAAAACCUUCAUCUUUAGGAUGACACAUUCACCUAUUAGAACCAAUAAAGCAUGUUCAGCAGCUUCCCCAGCUACAUUAUCUUCUUCCUGAAUCCUGAUUAAACAGCUACUGAGCUCACUAUCUACGUGGAAAUUAAUAUAAGCCCACCAAUAGAAGAGGAAGGAUAAAAACAAGCAACCUUGGAUUUGGCUUGCAGGUUGCAAUAUGUGUCAAUUCAAAUACUUCAACAAUUUUCAGCAAACAAUGUCUAAAUCUGUUUGUUGUUUUCAUGUAAGCAAAAUCACGUCCCCAAUUUAAAGAAAGAAAAAGAAAAGAGGAACCAUUUAUAUAAAUGCACUGCCUACACACCAGAAAAAGGAAAAGGCAUGUAAUGAACUAAUUCAAGGCUUGAAGAUAUCAGAAUUAUAGAAAAUGCUCAGUUCUCAGAUGGAAUUAGGUGUUCAAAAUCUGCAUACAGAAGAAUGGAUUAUUGUGCAUGGAUCCUGUGAGUUAAAGUGGUAGUCACAAAGAUGGAUUGCAAAGUGAAGAUAAAAAGAAACUGAUUGUGAAAGCUCAUUCAAAGAGAUGCAACAAAAUGGACUGGAAACAUCUCCAAUAAAACAUCAAAAAACAUGUAAAAUACCUUGUAAAAUGUUGAUAGGCCCUAUACAUGGCCAGCAUAAUGAUUGAAUGCAGACACCACCAUCGGUCUUGAAGCU
This 845-nucleotide long non-coding RNA is filed under the name Nicotiana tabacum (common tobacco). RNAcentral describes it as "long non-coding RNA (NTAB_LNC002254)". The record is from RNAcentral. Lineage: Eukaryota; Viridiplantae; Streptophyta; Magnoliopsida; Solanales; Solanaceae.